GAUGAACGCUGGCGGCGUGCCUAAUACAUGCAAGUCGAGCGAACGGACGAGAAGCUUGCUUAUCUGAUGUUAGCGGCGGACGGGUGAGUAACACGUGGAUAACCUACCUAUAAGACUGGGAUAACUUCGGGAAACCGGAGCUAAUACCGGAUAAUAUUUUGAACCGCAUGGUUCAAAAGUGAAAGACGGUCUUGCUGUCACUUAUAGAUGGAUCCGCGCUGCAUUAGCUAGUUGGUAAGGUAACGGCUUACCAAGGCAACGAUGCAUAGCCGACCUGAGAGGGUGAUCGGCCACACUGGAACUGAGACCCGGUCCAGACUCCUACGGGAGGCAGCAGUAGGGAAUCUUCCGCAAUGGGCGAAAGCCUGACGGAGCAACGCCGCGUGAGUGAUGAAGGUCUUCGGAUCGUAAAACUCUGUUAUUAGGGAAGAACAUAUGUGUAAGUAACUGUGCACAUCUUGACGGUACCUAAUCAGAAAGCCACGGCUAACUACGUG
RNAcentral lists this ribosomal RNA (497 nucleotides) under uncultured bacterium. RNAcentral's name for it is "partial 16S ribosomal RNA". It matches the Rfam family "Bacterial small subunit ribosomal RNA", at positions 28 to 507 of the family's 1533-position model. The record is from RNAcentral.